UAUUAUAAUAUAUACACCAUAGCAAUUCCAAGAAAUGGUUCACUUCGACAGAGUGAAAGAUCUUCAUUCAUGGAGAUCUCAUCGGAAAAUUUGUGUCAAAGUCUUUAGAAACUGGAGGAAAGUCGAUGAAGUUGAUGACACCUUAGAACUGAUUUUGCUGACAUGAUUAAAGCAACUAUAAAAAAAGAUUUGAUCACACUUUUGAUAAUCAAAUUAACGAAGAUGAAUGAAAAUUGUUAUCCACUUCUUUUUAUGUGUUAUACAAUGAUAUACGUUUUAAAUGGUGGACAAGACUACUACAUCACUAUCUUCAAUGAAAUUGUUGUUGAUAAUUCAAAAGUGAUCUCCACCAAUAUCUUUUGUGUAGUGAUUGGAACUUACAUAAUCCGAAUCAAUGAAGUGGUUAGUGGAGAUCACUUCUGAAUUAUCAAUAACAGUUUCAUUGAAAAUAAUGAUAUGGUAGUCGUGUCCACCAUCUUUAAAUGUUUAUUAUUGUUCCACUCCACACAGAGAAAGUGGAUAAGAUUUUUCAUUCAUCUUCAUUAAUUUGAUUAUAAAAAGUGGGGAUCAUAUCGUUGUUUAUAGUUGCUUGAGUCUUGUCACCUGGAAUUCUGGCGUGUAAUGGAUAUAAUAGAUCUUUCUUAUGUAUUUAUGAAAUUAUCUGCUGCGCGCGAUAGUUUACUUUUUUUAUGGGAUUAUUUACAAAAUGAGAAUGAUCAAAACUUUAAAUAUAAAAUAAUAGAAAUGAAAAUAUUAGAUGAUCUAUCUUGCAUUUACACCAUUACACAUUAGACGUUUCUCAACCUUUUUUUUAUUUUUUUUUUAUUUUGGAUUUUCGCAAAACAUAUUUUCAUUAUUUAUAAGUAAAUUUAUAAACUAUAGGCGUUAUGAUGUAAUGGUGUAAAUUUAUAAACAUAUUUUUAUUAUUUUAGACCAUCUUUAUUGCUAAGAAUUGCUUCUUAAUUAAGAGAACAUAAGAAGGGCUAGACGUGUUCGAUAAUUGUUUGGUGUUGCUUUAAUACAGAAGAAAUAUUUUUUUUUUGUUGAUGACUAUGGUUUUCUCUUUCUCGACGGAGAGACUGCGAAAUCAAGAGAUUUCUCUCAAAAAUCGAUUGCAACCAGAGAAGAAUGAUUCAACUUUCGGUGGCCACGGGCUGUUCAACCCCGUUCAUUCAUCAUCUCCACCGACGGUUCAACGGCGGCUCUCUUUCAUGUAAUCGGCAAGUUUGAAAUCGGAAAGUCUCAUUCACCAAUGAUUAUAUCGCUGAAUUGUUGUUUGGGUUGUGAUUGAUCUAUUGUGUAGAGAUGUAUAUGUCUCCAUGUCUUUAGCUGAGGUUUUUGUAUAGAGAUUUGGAUGGGUCUCUUCAUAGUUUUAAAGCUGAGCUAAUUAGGGGGUUUGAAGGUUAUACAAAGGUUGAUUCCAAAGAUCAUCAGAUCAGUGAUUUAGAAAAGCUAACUCAAUUUAUUGUGUGGUUCCAGGUCACUUCUUCUUCUUCUUUUUCUUUACUUUCUCUCCUCCUUUCUGCCAUUGUUGACUGUUGAGUAUCAAAUUCUCGAUUUUUCUCUUCCCCAUGUGAGCUGAAUCCUAUUUGAUAUCACUUAAAGCUAACACCAUGGUUCCUCCGGCUAAAAAAUUCAUCAACAACCCCAAUGAUGUUGUAACCGAGCUCAUCGAGGGUCUCAGAACCACCAAAUUUACGAUGCAAUUCUCUUCUCCUUAUGUAAAGGAUAUUGCUUCUUCUCUUAUUUUCUAUGUCUAAAUAUACGCUAAUUAACAACAUUUUUUUGCAUUAGAAAUAACUCUACAUGUUAUUCCCUGCUUCGGUAUUGUUGCUUAUCUUGUUUAAAGUUUGACACAAAUCAAGAUUACAACUAAUCUUUUUCUCUAUUUGUGAUUUCUACGUCUAUGUUAAUAUGGUUUUAUGUUUUGUAUGUUUAAAAGUUUAUGAAAUGCAAUAAUAAAAUCUUCAAUGUUUAAACAUUAAA
Camelina sativa (false flax) is the source of this 1986-nucleotide long non-coding RNA. RefSeq lists it as uncharacterized. Lineage: Eukaryota; Viridiplantae; Streptophyta; Magnoliopsida; Brassicales; Brassicaceae. The record is from RefSeq and is a predicted model, not a curated record.